MicroRNA precursor from Aotus nancymaae (Ma's night monkey), 83 nucleotides. NCBI's taxonomy places the organism in Eukaryota, Metazoa, Chordata, Mammalia, Primates, Aotidae. The record is from Ensembl.
ACGACAUCUUUGCACUCAGCAGGCAGGCUGGUGCAGCCCGUGGUGGGGGACCGUCCCGCUGGCUGUGGGGUAAGGACGGCUGU